Molecule: ribosomal RNA, 915 nt
Filed under: uncultured Planctomycetota bacterium
Lineage: Bacteria; Pseudomonadati; Planctomycetota
Description: bacterial SSU rRNA
Rfam family: Bacterial small subunit ribosomal RNA
Source: RNAcentral
AACGAACGUUGGCGGCGUGGUUUAGGCAUGCAAGUCGAGCGAGAAAGUCACCUUCGGGUGGCGAGUACGGCGGCGCAAGGGUGAGUAAUGCAUAGGUAACGUACCCUUUAGUCCGGGAUAAGAGCGGUUGCCUUCGGGUAACCUACCGAAAGGGCUUCUAAUACCGGAUGUUAUCCACGAUUCGCAUGGAUUGUGGAUUAAAGAUGGGGACCCGUAAGGGCCUGUCGUUAAAGGAGCGGCCUAUGUCCUAUUAGCUUGUUGGUGGGGUAACGGCCUACCAAGGCAUUGAUGGGUAGCCGGCCUGAGAGGGCGAUCGGCCACACUAGGACUGAGACACUGCCCAGACUCCUACGGGAGGCUGCAGUCGAGAAUCUUUUGCAAUGGGCGAAAGCCUGACAAAGCGACGCCGCGUGGAGGAUGAAGGUCUUCGGAUUGUAAACUCCUUUUAGAGGUUAAGAAAUGCCAUUAUGGUAAUACUGUAAUGGCUUGACAAAGGCCUCAGAAAAAGCACCGGCUAACUUCGUGCCAGCAGCCGCGGUAAUACGAAGGGUGCGAACGUUGUUCGGAAUCACUGGGCAUAAAGAGCUCGUAGGAGGCUUGGCAAGUUAGGUGUGAAAUCCCCCGGCUCAACCGGGGAAUUGCAUCUAAAACUGCUUGGCUUGAGUGUAAGAGGGGAGAUCGGAACUCUUGGUGGAGCGGUGAAAUGCGUUGAUAUCAAGGGGAACGCCGGUGGCGAAAGCGGAUCUCUGGCUUACCACUGACUCUGAGGAGCGAAAGCUAGGGGAGCAAACGGGAUUAGAUACCCCGGUAGUCCUAGCCGUAAACGAUGGAUACUAAACAGAGGGGAUUCCGAUGUUUUCUCUGUUGAAGCAAAUGUGUUAAGUAUCCCGCCUGGGGAGUACGACCGCAAGGUUA